Molecule: unclassified non-coding RNA, 301 nt
Filed under: plant metagenome
Description: partial contains small subunit ribosomal RNA, internal transcribed spacer 1, and 5.8S ribosomal RNA
Source: RNAcentral
UUUCCGUAGGUGAACCUGCGGAAGGUUCAUUGUAGGAUUGUUUUGGGAGGGGUGGUUGUGUUUUGUGGGGAUUGUGUGUGGUUGUUUGGAUUGCCUGGAUUGACUGGGUGUCUGCAACUCGACACGUCUCAUCACAACCACUCUUUACAUUGGCACAGACCAGUGGUCUGGUGUUUAGAGCACAGACUCGGUCUGGUGUUUAAAGAAACAGACCACUUGUGUCUGUUGUUUGCGCUUGCUCGUUUGACAGAAACAGUACCAUAUCAUUGCAAAACUUUUAACAAUGGAUCUCUUGGCUCUU